This 440-nucleotide ribosomal RNA is filed under the name uncultured bacterium. RNAcentral's name for it is "partial 16S ribosomal RNA". It matches the Rfam family "Bacterial small subunit ribosomal RNA", at positions 338 to 795 of the family's 1533-position model. The record is from RNAcentral.
CCUACGGGUGGCAGCCGUGGGGGAUAUUGCACAAUGGGGGCAACUCUGAUGCAGCGACGCCGCGUGAGUGAAGACGUAUUUCGGUAUGUAAAGCUCUAUCAGCAGGGAAGAAAAUGACAGUACCUGACCCAGAAGCCACGUAUAAAUACUUGCCAGCUGCCGUGGUUAUACGUCGGGGGCCAGCGUUAUACGGAUGUACGGGGGGUAAAGGGAGCGUAGACGGUUAUGUAAGUCUGUAGUUAGAGCCCGGUGACACACCCCGGGACGGCUUUGGAAACUGUUUAACUGGAGUACAGGAGGGGCAGGCGGAAUUCCUGGUGUAGCGGUGAAAUGCGUAGAUAGCAGGAGGAACACCGGCGGCGAAGGCGGACUGCUGGACUGAAACUGACGUUGAGGCUCGAAAGCGUGGGGAGCAAACAGGAUUAGAUACCCCUGUAGUC